Non-coding RNA from Ovis aries (sheep), 58 nucleotides. The record is from Rfam. Lineage: Eukaryota; Metazoa; Chordata; Mammalia; Artiodactyla; Bovidae.
AGUCCAGUGGUUAGGAUUCUGCACUUCCACUGCAGAGGGUAUAGGUUCGAUCCCUGGU